GCUCAAACAAUAAACCUGAUAAGUGAUAAUGCUAUAAUUAUUUUACAUAAUUUUAAACAAUACAUUUAGUUGAUUUUCUAGUAGCUUCGAUAAGUAACAUGAUUAAAAGGAGGUGAUCACCAAACAAAAACAACCAUCAAGUGAUUAAAUUUAAUAUUUUUGAUUUUCUACUUUUCUUUAAUUUUUCACCCGAUAUUCAUUGUUCGUGUUGAGACUUGACUAAACUCAAAUCCAAUGGCAGAUCUAGCAUUUAGAGGUCGUGGGUGAGAUUGACACCAAAAGCUUUAAGGUUCCGCUGAAAACUAAAACACUCAGCCAUCUUCACUCCGCCGCUGCUCGGUUCCGCACAUUGCAAGACUCAUUUCUGAGGGUGGUGCCACCAUCGAUCGAUGGAAUUUUUUCCUGUUGUUAAACGCUAGAACUCAAAACGUUUGAGUAAGAAAUUCUAAUCAUUUCACCAUAAUCUAUAUUGGUUCAAUUGCCUACUUAAUACUCAAUUUAUAUUCAUUUGUGUAGUCCAAAUAAAAUGUAGUUUGAUCAAUUCGUUUACUUAUAUGAAAAAUACAUUUGUGAGAUAAUAAUAGAUUUGAACUUGAAAGUUAGGUGUAGGUGCCAUACAUUGGCAAUGGUAGUUGACGUUUGUUGGCCACUGUUGCCAACGAUAAAGACAAGAAUUGGUAGAAAAAAUUUACUCGCACUCAAUAUUUAUAAAUUAAAUCAUAAAUUUAUACUGAUUGAGUUAUAAAUUUAUAUAUUUUUUCUCUAUCAAUUAACUCAUCGAGUCAUGAAAUGCAAAGAAAACUGACAAAUCGUAUCGAAUUGACAAAUCAAAUCAAAAAAACCACGUGUGUAAAGAAAACUGACAAAUCGUAUCGAACUGACAAAUCAAAUAGAAAAAACCACGUGUGCAAAGAAAACUAACAAACAACAUCAAACCCAAAAAGAAAAACACGAUUGGAAAGAAAAAACGAACAAUGAUUUACUUUGAUUUGAUAUUUAAAAAAUUCAAAUUAUAAUAAAUUUAGUUUGAUUUUAACUAAACAACGCCAAGUCCAACUGAAACCAAAUCGGUCCCAUUAUAUGCACAUGUACACCAUUUUAAAACUUACUUUUAUUUUUAAUUAUCACUUACAUUAUAACUUAAUCAAAUUUUUAAUUUCAUGGUAUUUUAACAUCAGGUUUCGACUUAUAUUUUUAGCUUAUACUAUAAAAGUACGAAGGGCCUUAGAAAUAUUGAUCGAAUUUUUUUGCCUUUUAUUAAAAGUCUCUACUCUAAAUAAAAUUAUUUUUUUACUAUUAUUCCUAAUAUUUAAGAAUUAAAAAUUAAUUAAAUAUUUACAGUAAAACCUUUUCUUAUUAGAAGUCAUCAGAAUUAAUGACAACUAAUAUUUUUCUUUUCAUUGAUUUAAGAAUUCUAAAUCAAAGAAAGUUGAUUUUAAGAAGAUUUAAAAAAUCUGGAAAUAAAUGUCAAAGCAUUAGAAUAAGUAAAAUAUAAGACGUAGUUGUUAUAAAUGUAUUUACAUUAUAGUGAAUGUCUAUCAAAAUCUAUCAAGAUCUACUCUGAUAUUUAUUAGGAUUUGAAGCAUCCGUCUUUUACUCAGACUAAAAGUAAUUUUCCCUAUAAAUAGAGGGGUUUUGUUCAUUGUAUUUACAGUCUUAUGAUCUCUCAUCCCUCAAGAGAAUAAAUAAUAAUUACUUUCUCUAUUCUCUGCUCUUCUUUUUGUUCUUUCUAGUUUUAUAAUAAAUUUUUAAAAGCUUUAAGUUAGUAAUCAAAGAUUUUCUAAAGAUUGAAUUUUAAAAAUAAGAAAAAGUUUUAAGCAAAGAAAAAAAUAAUUGUACUACAAAUAUGGUUCGAAUCGAUGCAUCUAUGAAGGAUCUUUGAGAAGCGAUUUUAACUUUUUGCACUUCGUUAAAAAUCUUUGUAAUAAACAAAAUAAUCUAAUUUUAAAUAACUAAAAAUUACGCGUAUGUCUAGCAAAUUAGGAAAAGCUCAAAUCAAAACUAAAUUUUAGAUGCAAUUUCUUAUAUACUUCUAUAAAUACCCUAGACACACAUUCACAGCUCACAUAAGACAUCCAACUUUUUUUAAAAAAAAAUUUGGGAUGUCAUAAUAGGGAAGGGAAACGUUAGAGUAACUGGUAAAAUUACUGUUAUGCGAUGAGGAGGUUGCAGAUUUAAGCCGUGGAAAUAACCUCUGUCAAAAUGCAAGAUAAUAAUGCGUAUAAUAGAAUUUUAUAGUCCGAUCCUGAUCUUUCACCAAAUUUUAUGCAUAUCGAUAGUUUUAGUGCAUCAAGUUGAUAUUCUUUUGAAUGUCAUAAUAGGGACUCUAAGAUGUGACUAAAAUGUUCAACUUUAGCAGAGCUUUGACAUCUAUCAUGCAAUUAAGUAAUGUCUCAAUUAAUUCUCUGCAGAAUACACAUGCAAUUUAAGUAUAUUUGGAUAAUAAGUGGACCAUUAUUUUUGCAGCUAACCAUGUUCAGUAAGUGGAGCAUUAUUUUUGCAGCUAAUCAUGUUAGUAUCAUUUUUUGUAUCAUUUUUUUUUUUUGAAAAAAAUUCAUAAGUAGCAAAUUGAAGCCCAUAAUUAGAAGUUUUAUAGCAAUUGUUUUAUAAUUUCACAAAAUAGCAAAUUGUUUUUUAUAUUUUAAUCAAAUUUUAUUAUCGAAAUAAAUAUACAAACGAAAUUUACUGUCUCUAUUUCCUCAAAUAUAAUAUCCCAAAUCAUAAUUAGUGAGUAAUUAUAAUUUUAUAAGAAGAAAAAAAAAGAGUGAGAGAGAAAUUGGGCUAUUGGGCUAAAGCCCAGUUUAAAAGGGAAAAGGCAAAAAAAGGGCGUGCCUUUGUGCCCUAAUUAAAAAUGGAAUGGGAAAGAUUAUUAUUGUUAUAUAUAUAUAUAUAUAUAUAUAUAUAUACCAAUAAAAUAGGCGAUAAUUCAAGAUUUUUCAAUAUAUAUAUAUAUAUAAAGAUAUUUCAAUUAAGAUACUUUUAAAAUAAAAUGCACUUUUUGAAAUCAAAUGUUGUAAAAAAUCCUACUCAGUACUCCCUAUUUCCCAUUGUUUCUUCACGUUUAUCAUUCUUAUAUUCUAUAUUUUCCUCAAUUUUAAACUUUUUUUUUAUCUUACCCGGUUCAUCUCUUCCUCUUAACCUAUGUUCUUAACAACUUACUUCUUUAACCACACCCCGAAACUUUCAUCUGACAACUAACACUCGUCCUUCGUCUAUUCUGCAGACAUGGAGAACUAUCAAGGCCAGAAUUUCUAGGAAUUUACAGGUUAAUCCAUUGUUGUUACUAAGAAAUUAAGAGGUUAACCAUAUACUAAGGGUAAUGAAUUUAAACAAACAUUUUUUAAUUUACAUGAUGAACAUAUCUAAAAUUUCUAAAAAUAUAAACAUCUAAAACUUCUAAAACAUAAAAACAUAUUUUUGGAGGGAAAAUAUAAAAUAAAUAAGAACUUACAUCAAGUAACUGGGAUAAAGGUUUCCCUUUCGGGAAUCCCCUAAAGACUUUGGAAAACUGAAAGCUUUAUUAUUCAAACUUCCUUAUAUAUUACAAGUUUUGAUUUACACCAAGAGGAAAGGUUGGUUGGAAAAAGGGGAUUUAUGAAUAGGAAAGUAUGUUGAAAGGUUCUAAG
Molecule: long non-coding RNA, 3626 nt
Filed under: Capsicum annuum
Lineage: Eukaryota; Viridiplantae; Streptophyta; Magnoliopsida; Solanales; Solanaceae
Description: long non-coding RNA (CANN_LNC018233)
Source: RNAcentral